This 377-nucleotide unclassified non-coding RNA is filed under the name uncultured bacterium. RNAcentral's name for it is "contains 16S-23S intergenic spacer region". The record is from RNAcentral.
UCCGGUUUGGCACCGGCAGUCUCCCUAGAGUUCCCGGCUUUACCCGCUGGCAACUAAGGACAAGGGUUGCGCUCGUUGCGGGACUUAACCCAACAUCUCACGACACGAGCUGACGACAGCCAUGCACCACCUGUGCAUAGGCCCCGAAGGGCUGCCGUGUUUCCACGACAUUCCUAUGCAUGUCAAGCCUAGGUAAGGUUCUUCGCGUUGCGUCGAAUUAAACCACAUGCUCCGCUGCUUGUGCGGGCCCCCGUCAAUUCCUUUGAGUUUCAACCUUGCGGUCGUACUCCCCAGGCGGGGUACUUCCUGCGUUAGCGCCGGCACCCAGAGGGUCGCUCCCCCAACACCUAGUACUCAUCGUUUACGGCGUGGACUAC